Molecule: long non-coding RNA, 1431 nt
Organism: Protopterus annectens (West African lungfish)
Lineage: Eukaryota; Metazoa; Chordata; Ceratodontiformes; Protopteridae
Exons: 3
Source: RefSeq, a predicted model, not a curated record
GGCCUUCUGCUGAUCUCUGGCAGACUUAACUGUCAUACAGAGAUAACAAGGGCACCUUUUUCCUUUCUUCUCAAACCAAAGUCUAACUUUUGGAAUCCUGAGUUGAAGCCUCUUGUAGAAUCUGAUGGCUUUUGUGAGUGGAUGUCCAUCUAUCAUGAUCUGAAAUGGCGGGUUUCUACUGAAGGUGCGGGAAAUGGCCAAGUGAUGAGAUAAGUCCGUGGAAAAGGACAUGGGAGCAGAUUGUGAGGGGAAGAUCAAGGAAGCAGGGGUGGGAAAACGUGCAUAAGGGACCGGACAUUCAGAGUCAAGGAAUCUUUGGUCAAACUUACUGCAAGUUGGAUGUGUGCCAGUUGAUAAACAGAUUACUUGGGUCUCUGAAGAGGAUCCAUCCUGGCACAACUGAUGGUGUUAUGGGGUUAAGGACAUCCCAGCUGUGUUCCAGUCCUGCUCUCAUGAUUAUCUCGAAACUACAGUAUUGAAACUAAAGAUAUUACAAGAUGAGAUAAAAAAGAAACAAAAACAACUGCAGCAGGAUCUUUUACCCACUUCUGAAUGGACUCAACAAUAUGCAUUUGGGAUUAUGUUCUCUAAGUCAAAUUUCUUGAAUGUAUUACUGCUAAGUACACUACCAUACAUAUGUGUGUGUGUUUGUGACAGUGUGUUAGCAUUUGCAGAACUUCCUAAACUAAGUUAUUAGAUUACACAGUAACACCCGCAUUCCAUCUUUGAAAGGUGCACAAUACCUACCUUAGUGUUACUCUAUGCAAAUUCCCUAACUAAGAAAACACUGUAUGCACCUUUCCUCCUUAUUCAGAUACCUCAGAAUUUGAGAUUUAUGACCAUCUUUUAGGCACUGAUCUUGCUGUUUUAUCUAAAACCGAACUAAUUUAUACAGUUAAGUAUGUGAAAUUGGCAGCCUAUCUAUCUAUCUAUCUAUCUAUCUAUCUAUCUAUCUAUCUAUCUAUCUAUCUAUCUAUCUAUCUAUCUAUCUACCUAUCCAUCUAUCAACCAUCAAGCAUCUGUGUAUCAACUCUCUAUCCAUCUAUCUAUCCAUCUAUCUGUCUAUCUAUCUAUCUAUGUUUAGGCUAUCAAUGCUGAUAUAGACCCAUUUCCACAGGGGACAAGGGGGAGAGGUGGAGAGAGCCCCCCUGACAUAAAUCUAUAUGAUAAUUAAAUAUAAAGAAUUAUGCAUUUGACAUAAAAGAUCUACAUCCAUUAUUGAUGGACAACAGAGCCUUUGCAGAACAAAAUAAAUCACAAUAACUGGAUACUAGCCUUCAGACUAUUCUAAUUUUAACAAACUAAGUAAAUAAAUAAUAAAACAUUAUUUUAGUUUUUUCAAACAGGCAGUCAUAAUAGCACAACACAAUCAACGUCUUGUUUGUGGUUCCUGAUGUGACUUAUAAAAUAAAAUGUACCCUUUCCUACUAA